UGAGACAUGGCUGGAUGAUAGUUAUGACUGGGCAGUUAAUGUACAGGGUUACAGUCUGUUUAGAAAGUAUCGCCAAAACUGGAGAGGGGGAGGGGUCUGCCUUUAUGUAAAGUACUGUCUAAAACCCACAGUCCGAGGAGAUAUAAGUGACCUUCACUGAUAUCUUCU
This is a long non-coding RNA of Bufo bufo (common toad), 168 nucleotides long. RefSeq lists it as uncharacterized. The record is from RefSeq and is a predicted model, not a curated record. NCBI's taxonomy places the organism in Eukaryota, Metazoa, Chordata, Amphibia, Anura, Bufonidae. The transcript is spliced from 3 exons.